AUUGAACGCUGGCGGCAGGCCUAACACAUGCAAGUCGAACGGCAGCGGGGGAUAGCUUGUUAUCCUGCCGGCGAGUGGCGGACGGGUGAGUAAUGCAUGGGGAGCUGCCCAGUCGAGGGGGAUAACAACUGGAAACGGUUGCUAAUACCGCAUACGCCCUAAGGGGGAAAGGUGGGGAACUUCGGUCCUACCGCGAUUGGAUGCGCCCAUGUGGGAUUAGCUAGUUGGUGAGGUAACGGCUCACCAAGGCGACGAUCUCUAGCUGGUCUGAGGGGAUGACAGCCACACUGGAACUGAGACACGGUCCAGACUCCUACGGGAGGCAGCAGUGGGGAAUAUUGCACAAUGGGGGAAACCCUGAUGCAGCCAUGCCGCGUGUGUGAAGAAGGCCUUCGGGUUGUAAAGAACUUUCAGUCAGGAGGAAGGGGUGAUGGCUAAUAUCCAUCAUCAUUGACGUUACUGACAGAAGAAGCACCGGCUAACUCCGUGCCAGCCGCCGCAGUAA
Molecule: ribosomal RNA, 505 nt
Filed under: uncultured bacterium
Lineage: Bacteria
Description: partial 16S ribosomal RNA
Rfam family: Bacterial small subunit ribosomal RNA
Source: RNAcentral